Molecule: transfer RNA, 88 nt
Filed under: Actinomycetes bacterium
Lineage: Bacteria; Bacillati; Actinomycetota; Actinomycetes
Also listed under: 1 other name
Description: Actinobacteria bacterium tRNA-Ser
Rfam family: tRNA
About the family: Transfer RNA (tRNA) molecules are approximately 80 nucleotides in length. Their secondary structure includes four short double-helical elements and three loops (D, anti-codon, and T loops).
Source: RNAcentral
GGAGGGGUGGCAGAGUGGUUGAAUGCGACAGUCUUGAAAACUGUUGACCCGCAAGGGUUCGUGGGUUCGAAUCCCACCCCCUCCGCCA